GCGGCGGUGCCGGAGUGGCCAAAUGGAUAUUCCAGGCUUGACGGACAAGCUUCAGGAGCUUGUGGCUUAGUGCCUUCGCAGGUUCGAAUCCUGUCCGCCGCA
This 102-nucleotide transfer RNA is filed under the name Candidatus Woesearchaeota archaeon. Its description in RNAcentral is "tRNA-Leu". It matches the Rfam family "tRNA". Rfam says of the family: Transfer RNA (tRNA) molecules are approximately 80 nucleotides in length. Their secondary structure includes four short double-helical elements and three loops (D, anti-codon, and T loops). The record is from RNAcentral. Lineage: Archaea; Nanobdellati; Candidatus Woesearchaeota.